This 73-nucleotide transfer RNA is filed under the name Poecilia formosa (Amazon molly). It matches the Rfam family "tRNA". Rfam says of the family: Transfer RNA (tRNA) molecules are approximately 80 nucleotides in length. Their secondary structure includes four short double-helical elements and three loops (D, anti-codon, and T loops). The record is from Rfam by way of RNAcentral. Lineage: Eukaryota; Metazoa; Chordata; Actinopteri; Cyprinodontiformes; Poeciliidae.
GUUCCUGUAGUGUAGUGGUUAUCACGUUUGCUUUACAUGCAAUAGGUCUCUGGUUCAAAAACAGACAGAAACU